GAUGAAGAACGUAGCGAAAUGCGAUAAGUAAUGUGAAUUGCAGAAUUCAGUGAAUCAUCGAAUAUUUGAACGCACCUUGCGCUCUUUGGUAUUCCGAAGAGCAUGCCUGUUUGAGUGUCAUGAAAAUAUCAACCUGGACUUGGGUUUUGUGCUCUAGUCUCGGCUUGGAAUUGGGUGCUUGCCGCUUUUACGAGCGGCUCACCUUAAAUGUAUUAGCUGGAUCUGUCUUUGAGACUUGGUUUGACUUGGCGUAAUAAGUAUUUCGCUAAGGACAUUCUUCGGAGUGGCCUCGUUUCUAGGACGCCUGUCCGCUUUCCAAUACAAGUUCCACCUCGUGGACAUGACUUUUUAUUAUCUGGCCUCAAAUCAGGUAGGACUACCCGCUGAACUUAAGCAUAUCAAUAAGCGGAGGA
Molecule: unclassified non-coding RNA, 413 nt
Filed under: soil metagenome
Description: partial contains 5.8S ribosomal RNA, internal transcribed spacer 2, and large subunit ribosomal RNA
Rfam family: 5.8S ribosomal RNA (bases 1-120)
Source: RNAcentral